GCUGGUGUGGCUCAGUCGGUAGAGCAGCUGAUUCGUAAUCAGCAGGUCGCCGGUUCAAGUCCGGCCACCAGCUCCA
Molecule: transfer RNA, 76 nt
Filed under: Clostridiaceae bacterium
Lineage: Bacteria; Bacillati; Bacillota; Clostridia; Eubacteriales; Clostridiaceae
Also listed under: 4 other names
Description: tRNA-Thr
Rfam family: tRNA
About the family: Transfer RNA (tRNA) molecules are approximately 80 nucleotides in length. Their secondary structure includes four short double-helical elements and three loops (D, anti-codon, and T loops).
Source: RNAcentral